This 433-nucleotide ribosomal RNA is filed under the name uncultured bacterium. RNAcentral describes it as "partial 16S ribosomal RNA". It matches the Rfam family "Bacterial small subunit ribosomal RNA", at positions 29 to 507 of the family's 1533-position model. The record is from RNAcentral.
AGCGAACGCUGGCGGCAGGCCUAACACAUGCAAGUCGAACGGAUCCUUCGGGAUUAGUGGCGGACGGGUGAGUAACACGUGGGAACGUGCCCUUUGGUUCGGAACAACUCAGGGAAACUUGAGCUAAUACCGGAUGUGCCCUUCGGGGGAAAGAUUUAUCGCCAUUGGAGCGGCCCGCGUCUGAUUAGCUAGUUGGUGAGGUAACGGCCCACCAAGGCGACGAUCAGUAGCUGGUCUGAGAGGAUGAUCAGCCACACUGGGACUGAGACACGGCCCAGACUCCUACGGGAGGCAGCAGUGGGGAAUCUUGCGCAAUGGGCGAAAGCCUGACGCAGCCAUGCCGCGUGAAUGAUGAAGGUCUUAGGAUUGUAAAAUUCUUUCAGCGGGGACGAUAAUGACGGUACCAGCAGAAGAAGCUCCGGCUAACUUCGUG